CAUGUCUUUUAGUAUUAAAUUUAAAGUCGUGUUUGCCCAAUGAUUAAAUUUAAUGGCCGCAGUAAUUUGACUGUGCAAAGGUAGCAUAAUCAUUAGUUUUUUAAAUAAAAGCUGGAAUGAAGGAUUUGAUGAGAAAAUAGCUGUCUCAGUUUUAAUAUAAAAUUUUAUUUUUGAGUUAAAAAGCUUAAAUAAUCCAAAAAGACGAGAAGACCCCAUAGAGUUUAAUAAGAUUAUUUGGAUUAGGUUAAGUAUUUUAAUUUUGAGGUUUUAUUUGAUUGGGGUGAUUGAAAAAUUUAAUUAACUUUUAUUUUUUUUUUACAUUAAUUGAUGGAUAGUUGAUCCUUUUAAAAGAUUAUAAGAUAAAAUUACCUUGGGGAUAACAGCGUAAUUUUUUUUGAGAGUUCAAAUCGAAAAAAGAGUUUGCGACCUCGAUGUUGGAUUAAAAUUAAAUUUUGGUGGAGGGAUUAAAAUAUUAAGUCUGUUCGACUUUUUAAAUU
This 497-nucleotide ribosomal RNA is filed under the name Pelecotoma fennica. RNAcentral's name for it is "partial 16S ribosomal RNA". It matches the Rfam family "Bacterial large subunit ribosomal RNA", at positions 1816 to 2595 of the family's 2925-position model. The record is from RNAcentral. Lineage: Eukaryota; Metazoa; Arthropoda; Insecta; Coleoptera; Ripiphoridae.